RNAcentral lists this long non-coding RNA (326 nucleotides) under Mus musculus (house mouse). RNAcentral's name for it is "long non-coding RNA chrX:94615799-94616125". Lineage: Eukaryota; Metazoa; Chordata; Mammalia; Rodentia; Muridae. The record is from RNAcentral.
AUGUCAGACGUGACAGUGGACAGCAACUCCGAGAUCACCACCAAGGACUUGAAGGAGAAGAAGGAAGUUGUGGAGGAGGCAGAGAAUGGAAGAGAUGUACCUGCCAAUGGGAACGCUCAAAAUGAGGAAAAUGGGGAGCAGGAGGCUGACAAUGAGGUAGAAGAAGAGCAAGAAGGCAGGGAGGAAGAGGAGGAGGAGGAAGAAGGUGACGGUGAGGAAGAGGACGGAGAUGAAGAUGAGGAAGCUGAGGCUCCACGGGAAAGUGGAUAGUUGAGGAUGGCGAGGAUGAAGAUGUCGACACCAAGAAGCAGAAGACUGAGGCUGAC